Molecule: ribosomal RNA, 229 nt
Filed under: uncultured bacterium
Lineage: Bacteria
Description: partial 16S ribosomal RNA
Rfam family: Bacterial small subunit ribosomal RNA
Source: RNAcentral
CGGGGUGAGUAAUGUCUAGGGAAACUGCCUGAGGGAGGGGGGAAGUAACGGGAAACGGUAGCUAAUACCGCAUAACGUCGCAAGACCAAGAGGGGGACCUUCGGGCCUCUUGCCAUCGGAUGUGCCCAGAUGGGAUUAGCUAGUAGGUGGGGUAACGGCUCACCUAGGCGACGAUCCCUAGCUGGUCUGAGAGGAUGGCCAGCCACACUGGAACUGAGACACGGUCCAG